This is a long non-coding RNA of Leopardus geoffroyi (Geoffroy's cat), 2418 nucleotides long. RefSeq lists it as uncharacterized. The record is from RefSeq and is a predicted model, not a curated record. The transcript has 2 exons. Lineage: Eukaryota; Metazoa; Chordata; Mammalia; Carnivora; Felidae.
CAAAAAUAAAUGUAAAAAAAAAAAAAAAUUAAAAAAAAAAAAGGAGCAGGAAACUAAGUGACAGGUAUUAUAAAUUGAGAGGAUAGCGUGUUUCAAAAAGAAGGACCGGUCAACUAUGUCAAAUGAGAGGUUGAAUAAGAUGAGAGAAAAAUGUCCAGUGCGUUUAGCAAUCUGGGGGGAGUUAGCACACUUAAUUAUUUUGAGGUGUCUCAAAGGAGCGGCAGCUUCAGAAACUAGUGGGAAGCCCCUUGAGGAGGGAGCAGGUGACUAGUAUGAGAAGUUGGGCCAUAACAAGUACUGGAGAAAGUAGGCAGCUGGGGAGCUGGGGUGUUGUCUUCAAGGUGGGACCUGAGCGAGUUUGCACACUGAGGAGGAGGAGCAGAGGAGGAGUCACGGGGCCAGAGAGCAAGGGAAGGAGGGAGGCUGGGAGGCAGCUCUGGGAAGGCCAGAAGCCAGUACAGGUGCGGGUAAGCCCCUGACAGCACGACGACUUAGAAAACGGAAUGUGGCUGCAGACACACAUGGUUUCUGAGACUGGGUGGUAAAGAACCCCUGAUGCUUUUCCUUUCCUGAAUGAAAUACGAGGUGAAGCCGUCAACUGAGAGUGAGGAGAGGAGAGGAAUAUAGGAAGUAGGGGGAAAGGUGCAGAGAGCAAGGAGGCCAAGUUCCUAGGAGGCCAAGUGAUUCACCCCCUGGAAUUUUGUGGUGGAGAACUCAGGAGUGAAACCAGUCGGACUGGUUUUUCCAUGUUCUCUGGCAAAUGUGGCUGCUUGAAUUCAGGCUAGUCCAAAGUGGAUAUGCUUUUCGUUCACAAGGGUUUUACCAGAUGAGAAAGAGGGGCAAAGGAACUUGUGUUUGUGAGCGAGUGAUUGUAACGAUGGGCUAGUAAACGGUGUACAGAUUUCAGUAAGGGUCUAUAGGUGCUGAGCUCUAAGGACAGGAAAUGACUGCGAGAAUAGCCAGCUAGGACGUGAGGUUUCAGAGGUCAUACUGAUAUUGAUUGGUGAGGUUUGGGGGGAUGGCGGGGGUUCGGAGCCAAUGACCAAGAAAGAACUCUUGAGAUGUUUUUGGUGCAACAGGGUGAUUUUAUUAAAGCACAGGGACGGGACUUGUGGGCCGAAAGAGCUGCGCGGGGGUCCUGAGGAGUGACUGGUUACACACUUUGGAGUUGGGGGAGGUAAAUCAAAGGGAGGCCUCCAGAAGGACUUUCAUAUGCUAAAGAGGACUCCUGAGAUACCAGAGGCCUAGCUGUCGUCCGGCUAAGGUUGUUUUUCCCUCUAGCAAAGCAUUAACAUUAAGACGUAGGUUGUUUCCGGAGGAACGUUUUACUCUGCCUGCCUCAAGAAUUUGUCAAUGGGCUGCAGGUUAUGAGGAAAUUUAAUUUUGUCUACAUUUCUUUCUGCCUUUGUUUCCCACAUCAUUGAUGAUGGCAAAGUCUACAGGAUGAACCAAGGAGUAGGUGACCAAGGUGGGCGACAGGAAAAGGCCACUCAGUGAGUGGGUCAAGGAAUUAAGAAGCCAGAAAACAGACAUCCUAGUUUUCAUGAGAGCACAGGACCAUAAAAAUGAGCACAGAAACUGAAACCGUGCAAAGUGAUCGUAAUAGUCAAAGAGAAAAAUCACAAUUGUCUGAUGACUUAAAAAAACUUUUGGUGAAACAUUUAAAACUCCCUUACUGCCACCUGUAAACGUAUAGAGAAUUUUAUUAAUUGUAAAACUAAUAUUUAUUUAGUACCCUGUAUUUUAAAAUGAGAAACACUGGGAAUUAGUCAUCAAGACUGCUUUGAAUGGUGCUUGCCUUCUCAUAAUAUCACUUCCCUUUUCUGGGCCUUGGUAAGUUUCCCUGCUCCUCACGUUUUGCAUUUUCAGUGUUGUAUAGUAUCUCUAAGUGUCUUUAAUGUGAAGUCGUUCACCAAUGUCACCUCCUUGAGAUAUUUGCAUCCUUUGUCUGGACCACCUGCUCUACCUGACCCGUGGAAUCUGGGCGCAGGCUUCCCAGCAGUGCCCUGGCCUGGGCCCGCAGCUUAACCAGAGAGCUCAGCGCUAAUCGAGCCUUGUGCACUUCCAAGAUGAUGAAACCGGACUUCACUGCACUCAUUAUUGUAAAACAUCACGUGGGUCUGUCACCGGGAGACAAGGAGGCAAUACGAGAACCUGCUUUGCUGUGUCGUGACCUGAGCCGCUGGAUAACUGAAGUGCGGUGACGAGUCACCGACAGGCUUUGCAGGGAGGUUGAUGAUGCAGGUCAGUCAUUAACACAGCGACCUGUGGCCUGACAACUGGCUGUGAAGUUUGUAGCCGAUGCAGUCACGCAGUUAACACAGCAACAUAGCGUGGUAACUGAAAUCUGACCCCCGUUAUUGGGGGACCGGUGCUGUUUAACUAAACUGUGGCGAUUAAAAUUUGUGCAUACUAGAA